This 439-nucleotide ribosomal RNA is filed under the name uncultured bacterium. Its description in RNAcentral is "partial 16S ribosomal RNA". It matches the Rfam family "Bacterial small subunit ribosomal RNA", at positions 339 to 795 of the family's 1533-position model. The record is from RNAcentral.
CUACGGGAGGCUCCAGUGGGGGAUAUUGCACAAUGGAGGAAACUCUGAUGCAGCAACGCCGCGUGAAGGAAGACGGUUUUCGGAUUGUAAACUUCUAUCAGCUGGGAAGAAAAUGACGGUACCAGACUAAGAAGCCCCGGCUAACUACGUGCCAGCAGCCGCGGUAAUACGUAGGGGGCAAGCGUUAUCCGGAUUUACUGGGCGUAAAGGGUUCGUAGGCGGUUAUUUAAGUCAGAUGUGAAAGCCCGAGGCUCAACCUCGGGACUGCAUUUGAAACUGGAUAACUAGAGUACAGGAGAGGAAAGCGGAAUUCCUAGUGUAGCGGUGAAAUGCGUAGAUAUUAGGAAGAACACCAGUGGCGAAGGCGGCUUUCUGGACUGUAACUGACGCUGAUGAACGAAAGCGUGGGGAGCGAACAGGAUUAGAUACCCGGGUAGUC